Molecule: ribosomal RNA, 484 nt
Filed under: uncultured bacterium
Lineage: Bacteria
Description: partial 16S ribosomal RNA
Rfam family: Bacterial small subunit ribosomal RNA
Source: RNAcentral
AGUGAACGCUGGCGGCGUGCUUAACACAUGCAAGUCGAACGAGAACGGGUUAUAGCUUGCUAUAAUUGUCAGCUAAGUGGCGCACGGGUGAGUAAUGUAUAGGUAAUAUGCCUCUUACUAAGGGAUAACAAAUGGAAACGUUUGCUAAUACCUUAUACUCCUUAUUAACAUAAGUUAAUAAGGGAAAGAUUUAUUGGUAAGAGAUUAGCCUGUAUUGUAUCAGUUAGUUGGUGGGGUAAUGGCUUACCAAGACUAUGACACAUAACUGGUUUGAGAGUAUGAUCAGUCACACUGGAACUGAGACACCGUCCAGACUCCUACGGGAGGCAGCAGUGGGGAAUAUUGCACAAUGGGCGAAAGUCUGAUGCAGCAACGCCGCGUGGAGGAUGACACAUUUCGGUGCGUAAACUCCUUUUAUAUGAGAAGAUAAUGACGGUAUUAUAUGAAUAAGCACCGGCUAACUCCGUGCCAGCCGCCGCAGUAA